RNAcentral lists this ribosomal RNA (460 nucleotides) under uncultured bacterium. Its description in RNAcentral is "partial 16S ribosomal RNA". It matches the Rfam family "Bacterial small subunit ribosomal RNA", at positions 338 to 795 of the family's 1533-position model. The record is from RNAcentral.
CCUACGGGAGGCAGCAGUGAGGAAUAUUGGUCAAUGGCCGGAAGGCUGAACCAGCCAUGCCGCGUGAAGGUCAGUGCCCUAUGGGCGUUAAACUUCUUUUGUGCGGGAGCAAUAAUGGUCACGUGUGGCCAGACGAGAGUACCGUACGAAUAAGCAUCGGCUAACUCCGUGCCAGCAGCCGCGGUAAUACGGGGGAUGCAAGCGUUAUCCGGAUUUAUUGGGUUUAAAGGGUGCGUAGGCUGGGAGGUAAGUCAGCGGUGAAAUGCCACCGCUCAACGGGGUGAAGUGCCAUUGAUACUGCCUGGCUGGAAUGCGGAUGCCGUGGGAGGAAUGUGUGGUGUAGCGGUGAAAUGCAUAGAUAGCACACAGAACACCGAUUGCGAAGGCAUCUCACGAAUCCGCGAUUGACGCUGAUGCACGAAAGCGUGGGUAUCAAACAGGAUUAGAUACCCCAGUAGUC